This 1240-nucleotide ribosomal RNA is filed under the name Hyalessa maculaticollis. RNAcentral's name for it is "16S ribosomal RNA". The stretch from base 819 to 1188 matches the Rfam family "Archaeal large subunit ribosomal RNA", at positions 2151 to 2715 of the family's 2987-position model. The record is from RNAcentral. Lineage: Eukaryota; Metazoa; Arthropoda; Insecta; Hemiptera; Cicadidae.
UAUAUUUUUUCUAUAAAUUAAAUAUGAUAAAUUUGUUUUAAUAAUAAAAAAAAUUUUUCUGUUUUAGUAAAUUUUAUUAAUAAAAUUUUAUUUUAAAUUCUGAGAAGAAAUAUUAUUUAUAUAUUAAAAAGUAUAAUGAUUUUUGUACCUUUUGUAUCAGGGUAAAUUAAGUAUAAAUAUAAAUUAUAUGUCUCCCGAAAUAUAAUGAAUUAAAAUAAUUUGUAAAUUAUUGUUAUAAAAAUAUUUAAAAAAUUGUUUUAGAAAUGAAAUUUUAUCGAAUUAUAUGAUAUCUGGUUUUUUAAGAAAUGAAUUUAAUUCAGGAUAAUUAUAUAAUUUAUAUUUUUAUAUAAAAUUACUUUAUUAUCUUAUUAUAAUAGGGAUUAGCCAAUUAUGAUUAUUUAUAUAAUUUUUUAUAAUUUAAUUUGAUAAGCUUAAAAACAGCUAAAUUUAGAGUAAGUUAAAUUUUAUUAUUUAAUUAUAUGUAUUUAAAUAUAUAAUUAUUAAAUUUUUAUUUUAAAACUUAAUAUAAUAAAUUAUUAUAUUUAAUAUGAUUUUAUUAGUAUAAUUAUUAUAAAUUUAAUUUAUGAAUUAGGCAAUAUUAAUUUUCACCUGUUUAUCAAAAACAUGUCUUUCAGGGAAAAAUUGAAGGUCUAAUCUGCCCAAUGAUAAUUUAAUGGCCGCGGUAAACUGACCGUGCAAAGGUAGCAUAAUAACUAGUCUUUUAAUUGAAGGCUUGAAUGAAUGAUUAAAUGAAAAAUUGACUUUAUUAAUAUAAAUUAUUAUAACUUAAUUUUUAAGUCAAAAAGCUUAAAUUCUUAAGUAGGACGAGAAGACCCUAUAGAGUUUAAAAAUAAUUUUAUUAAUUUAAUUUUAGUAUUUCUAUUUAAAUUAAUAAUAUUAUUUUUUUGUUGGGGUGACACUAUAAAAUAUAUAACUUAUGGUUUAUGAAACAUUUAUAUAUGUAUUAAUGAUCCAUUAAUUUAAAAUAAUGAUUACAAGAAUAAAUUACCUUAGGGAUAACAGCGUUAUUAUCUUUUAGAGUUCAUAUUAAUAAGGUAGUUUGCGACCUCGAUGUUGGAUUAAGAAUAUAGUUUGGAGCAAAAUCUAAAACUUUAGGUCUGUUCGACCUUUAAAUUCUUACAUGAUCUGAGUUCAGACCGGUGUAAACCAGGUCGGUUUCUAUCCACUUUAUUUUUAAUAAUAUUAGUACGAAAGGACCAUAUUAAUUAACUUAUAUUAU